Molecule: ribosomal RNA, 1361 nt
Filed under: uncultured bacterium
Lineage: Bacteria
Description: bacterial SSU rRNA
Rfam family: Bacterial small subunit ribosomal RNA
Source: RNAcentral
AUUGAACGCUGGCGGCAGGCCUAACACAUGCAAGUCGAGCGGUAGCACAGAGAGCUUGCUCUCGGGUGACGAGCGGCGGACGGGUGAGUAAUGUCUGGGAAACUGCCUGAUGGAGGGGGAUAACUACUGGAAACGGUAGCUAAUACCGCAUAAUGUCGCAAGACCAAAGUGGGGGACCUUCGGGCCUCAUGCCAUCAGAUGUGCCCAGAUGGGAUUAGCUAGUAGGUGGGGUAAUGGCUCACCUAGGCGACGAUCCCUAGCUGGUCUGAGAGGAUGACCAGCCACACUGGAACUGAGACACGGUCCAGACUCCUACGGGAGGCAGCAGUGGGGAAUAUUGCACAAUGGGCGCAAGCCUGAUGCAGCCAUGCCGCGUGUGUGAAGAAGGCCUUCGGGUUGUAAAGCACUUUCAGCGGGGAGGAAGGCGUUAAGGUUAAUAACCUUGGCGAUUGACGUUACCCGCAGAAGAAGCACCGGCUAACUCCGUGCCAGCAGCCGCGGUAAUACGGAGGGUGCAAGCGUUAAUCGGAAUUACUGGGCGUAAAGCGCACGCAGGCGGUCUGUCAAGUCGGAUGUGAAAUCCCCGGGCUCAACCUGGGAACUGCAUUCGAAACUGGCAGGCUAGAGUCUUGUAGAGGGGGGUAGAAUUCCAGGUGUAGCGGUGAAAUGCGUAGAGAUCUGGAGGAAUACCGGUGGCGAAGGCGGCCCCCUGGACAAAGACUGACGCUCAGGUGCGAAAGCGUGGGGAGCAAACAGGAUUAGAUACCCUGGUAGUCCACGCCGUAAACGAUGUCGAUUUGGAGGUUGUGCCCUUGAGGCGUGGCUUCCGGAGCUAACGCGUUAAAUCGACCGCCUGGGGAGUACGGCCGCAAGGUUAAAACUCAAAUGAAUUGACGGGGGCCCGCACAAGCGGUGGAGCAUGUGGUUUAAUUCGAUGCAACGCGAAGAACCUUACCUGGUCUUGACAUCCACAGAACUUAGCAGAGAUGCUUUGGUGCCUUCGGGAACUGUGAGACAGGUGCUGCAUGGCUGUCGUCAGCUCGUGUUGUGAAAUGUUGGGUUAAGUCCCGCAACGAGCGCAACCCUUAUCCUUUGUUGCCAGCGGUUAGGCCGGGAACUCAAAGGAGACUGCCAGUGAUAAACUGGAGGAAGGUGGGGAUGACGUCAAGUCAUCAUGGCCCUUACGACCAGGGCUACACACGUGCUACAAUGGCAUAUACAAAGAGAAGCGACCUCGCGAGAGCAAGCGGACCUCAUAAAGUAUGUCGUAGUCCGGAUUGGAGUCUGCAACUCGACUCCAUGAAGUCGGAAUCGCUAGUAAUCGUAGAUCAGAAUGCUACGGUGAAUACGUUCCCGGGCCU